This 377-nucleotide long non-coding RNA is filed under the name Prunus persica (peach). Its description in RNAcentral is "long non-coding RNA (PPER_LNC002581)". Lineage: Eukaryota; Viridiplantae; Streptophyta; Magnoliopsida; Rosales; Rosaceae. The record is from RNAcentral.
UGAGUAUAGAAUGUCAGUUUGGAGUGCUAUAAGCACUACCCUAUGUACCUCCCCUGAUUUGGAACUUGGAUACGGAGACUUGAGAUACUUGGAAUUGUCGGUACUCGGGGCAUCCUUGACGGGAUGUUGCUGUAGACCCUUAAUUGGGUAGUCUGCGUGCGUAGGACUGAUCACAGACGUACGGGUUUUAAGGUUAUCGACGGUACGUUCUGGCUGAGAGUUGGUCCCCCAGUUGGACGGCUCGUUCCCUAGUCACAUGGUGGAUUGAGGACUCAUCACGAGGACUCUGCCAGGGUGACUAGUCAAACAAUCCCCCAGUUGGAUUGUUUCCCCGGUACAACUAGGUGAUGAUUAUAAUUAUACUAUAUAGAUAUCUC